UACGUAGGCAGCGAGCGUUGUUCGGAGUUACUGGGCGUAAAGCGUGCGCAGGCGGCUUCUCAAGUCAGGGGUGAAAGCCCAGAGCUCAACUCUGGAAUUGCCUUUGAGACUGAGUGGCUUGAGUACGAGAGAGGUGAGUGGAAUUCCCAGUGUAGAGGUGAAAUUCGUAGAUAUUGGGAAGAACACCGGUGGCGAAGGCGGCUCACUGGCUCGUAACUGACGCUCAUGCACGACAGCGUGGGGAUCAAACAGG
Molecule: ribosomal RNA, 253 nt
Filed under: uncultured bacterium
Lineage: Bacteria
Description: partial 16S ribosomal RNA
Rfam family: Bacterial small subunit ribosomal RNA
Source: RNAcentral